GGCGAACGGGUGAGUAACACGUGGGCAAUCUGCCCUUCACUCUGGGACAAGCCCUGGAAACGGGGUCUAAUACCGGAUAACACUCUGUCCCGCAUGGGACGGGGUUAAAAGCUCCGGCGGUGAAGGAUGAGCCCGCGGCCUAUCAGCUUGUUGGUGGGGUAAUGGCCUACCAAGGCGACGACGGGUAGCCGGCCUGAGAGGGCGACCGGCCACACUGGGACUGAGACACGGCCCAGACUCCUACGGGAGGCAGCAGUGGGGAAUAUUGCACAAUGGGCGAAAGCCUGAUGCAGCGACGCCGCGUGAGGGAUGACGGCCUUCGGGUUGUAAACCUCUUUCAGCAGGGAAGAAGCGAAAGUGACGGUACCUGCAGAAGAAGCGCCGGCUAACUACGUGCCAGCAGCCGCGGUAAUACGUAGGGCGCAAGCGUUGUCCGGAAUUAUUGGGCGUAAAGAGCUCGUAGGCGGCUUGUCACGUCGGAUGUGAAAGCCCGGGGCUUAACCCCGGGUCUGCAUUCGAUACGGGCUAGCUAGAGUGUGGUAGGGGAGAUCGGAAUUCCUGGUGUAGCGGUGAAAUGCGCAGAUAUCAGGAG
This 592-nucleotide ribosomal RNA is filed under the name Streptomyces sp. RNAcentral describes it as "bacterial SSU rRNA". It matches the Rfam family "Bacterial small subunit ribosomal RNA", at positions 97 to 703 of the family's 1533-position model. Lineage: Bacteria; Bacillati; Actinomycetota; Actinomycetes; Kitasatosporales; Streptomycetaceae. The record is from RNAcentral.